RNAcentral lists this long non-coding RNA (637 nucleotides) under Rattus norvegicus (Norway rat). RNAcentral's name for it is "long non-coding RNA NONRATT023728". The record is from RNAcentral. Lineage: Eukaryota; Metazoa; Chordata; Mammalia; Rodentia; Muridae.
CAGAUUUAUGCCUUAGCUGUGUUUCCCAGAUUUCCCUUUGCCGAUUCUCCUGUUGUGGAUUUGGUUGUGGAUGAUUUAAUUCCCCUUAAUUCCCCUUAGGAGUUUGUAGGCCUAGGGGAAGAAAGGACACACAUUUAUCCAGUGUCAGCAUCCGGUUUGGCACAAAGAUUUCUGAGGCACCCAGUUUACUUAGAGCCAGAUUUUCUACCCUUUCAAGAGUGUCUGCGUCAGGGAUAUGACUGGUGAGAACAGUGAGGGGCUCAGGAGGCAGCUGUCCCCACAGCCCCUCACCCCAUGCACAAUGGCCACAAAGCAGACACAGUCAUGUUCAAAUAUUGGUCACAUUUGUGAAGACUCGUGCAAUUUUUUCUGUGCUACACUACAUACAGAUCACACGUGAUGGACUAGCCCUUUGCGGUCCUUGGUGUCACAGGGCUCUCGGGGGCUUGCUUUCUCUGCUUUGAGGCAGGAGGGCAGGAGUGAGCGCCAUCCCGCUCUGCAUUUGUAUUUUGGUCCCAAAAUGUAAAUACGAUUUUCUAUGUUACUUUUUUGUGGUAACUACAAGAUGAAUAUUUUAAUUAGAUAAGUUAUACAAAAAGGAAAAUCCCAUGUCUAAAUAAAAAGCAAAAAACUUCUA